Molecule: long non-coding RNA, 639 nt
Filed under: Apteryx haastii (Great spotted kiwi)
Lineage: Eukaryota; Metazoa; Chordata; Aves; Apterygiformes; Apterygidae
Description: lncRNA (ENSAHAG00000001156.1)
Source: RNAcentral
AUGGCGCCCCACUGCGGGAGAGGGGGAGGGGGUUGCCCGCGGGGGUCACACAGGGCCACAGUGUUGCCAUGGCAUCGUCCCCAGUGCUGCCCUCCUAUUGGCCGCCCAGGGGAGGAGGGCGGGGCUACACUGAUGGCUGUGAGGCCCCGGGGUGAGGCAGGGAGGCCGCUCAGGAGCUGCCUCAGCCUUGGGGCAGGGCAGGGGCAGCUGCAGGUGGCAGCAGCCACGAGGCUGGGGUGUGGGCACGGAGGUCACGGCUGUGUGCGAGAGCUGUGCCAGAAAAUCACCAGGGUCAAAUCAGUUCUGUGUCAGCAGCUGACAGGCCAGCAGGAGGCACGUGGCUCGGCUGGUGAGGAUGAGGUCACUUCUGCCCGAGGGGGGGGGGGGGGGGCAGUGCCCAGAGCCCUGCUGCUCUUUGCAGAGGAGCUGCUCCUGCACACAGCUGUCUCUGGGCAGUGCUGCCAGGUUGGGGGGGGGGGAGGUUGUUUGUUUUGUUUUGACACAGAGGAUUUUCGUUCGGUCCAGAAGAAAAUUGGAUGAUUUGGACAACAGAUACUUCAUGAAGGUUUACAAGAGAAGUGCCAAGUGCUGUGCCUAGGCGGGAAUAAACCCAUCCAUUAGGAGAGAUUGAGGGACUUG